RNAcentral lists this ribosomal RNA (253 nucleotides) under uncultured bacterium. Its description in RNAcentral is "partial 16S ribosomal RNA". It matches the Rfam family "Bacterial small subunit ribosomal RNA", at positions 524 to 776 of the family's 1533-position model. The record is from RNAcentral.
UACAUGGGGUGCAAACGUUGUUCGGAAUUACUGGGCGUAAAGCGCGUGUAGGCGGCUUCGCAAGUCGGAUGUGAAAUCCCACGGCUCAACCGUGGAAGUGCACUCGAAACUGGAUGGCUAGAGUCCUGGAGAGGAAGGUGGAAUGCUUGGUGUAGAGGUGAAAUUCGUAGAUAUCAGGAGGAACACCGAUGGCGAAGGCAGGUCUCUGGGCCACUACUGACGCUGAGAAGCGAAAGCAUGGGGAGCGAACAGG